AUACGGAGGGUGCAAGCGUUGUCCGGAUUUAUUGGGUUUAAAGGGUGCGUAGGCGGUCGAUUAAGUCAGUGGUGAAAUCCUCCCGCUCAACGGGAGAACUGCCAUUGAUACUGGUUGACUUGAGUACAGACGAGGUAGGCGGAAUUUAUGGUGUAGCGGUGAAAUGCAUAGAUACCAUAAAGAACACCGAUAGCGAAGGCAGCUUACUGGACUGUAACUGACGCUGAGGCACGAAAGCAUGGGUAGCGAACAGGAUUAGAUACCCUAGUAGUCC
This 274-nucleotide ribosomal RNA is filed under the name uncultured bacterium. RNAcentral describes it as "partial 16S ribosomal RNA". It matches the Rfam family "Bacterial small subunit ribosomal RNA", at positions 523 to 796 of the family's 1533-position model. The record is from RNAcentral.